GCCUUUUUUUCUGACAGACGGCCGGAAUGCCGCCAAAAGGCUGAUAACAUCGACUGCUGAAUGUCUAGUCUGUAUGUAGUCUGCAACGUCGGAGGUGUAUUUUGGAUCCUCCUCUUGUGAAUGCCAUAGUAUCGAUGAUAACAUCAACUGUGUGUGGUCAUGUCGUCUGCAUCGGAGGUGUACUGGAGUCUUGUGAUUGCCUCGUAGCGGUGCUAACAGCAGGUUCAUUCAGACGGUCAACAUUUGUGGCACCAAAUGCAUUGAAAGUCACAGAUCAGCUGAAAUUUUGGAAAGAGGGUGCAGCCUGAAUCCCAUCCUGUGUUGUGUAUUCUGACUUUUUUUUUUUUUCAAACAAAAAACAAACCACAUUUUUCCUUUUUAUAAACAGCUUCUUUCUGAAGAACAACGUUUGUGAUUUUAAAUGUAUAGGUAGACAUGAGUAAAAAAAAAGUAAAAUGAAUGUAGCAGCUGUUUAUGCAUUGGCUUUAUGCAUUGUUUGCAAACGCAGCAUGUUGCUGGAAGACAGAUGUGUUAACGGAGCAGCACAUAAAAGUGAAAUGACUGAAGUGCAACUGCUAUUGAUAUU
This is a long non-coding RNA of Sinocyclocheilus grahami, 586 nucleotides long. RefSeq lists it as uncharacterized. The transcript has 4 exons. Lineage: Eukaryota; Metazoa; Chordata; Actinopteri; Cypriniformes; Cyprinidae. The record is from RefSeq and is a predicted model, not a curated record.